Molecule: long non-coding RNA, 3464 nt
Organism: Cyprinodon tularosa
Lineage: Eukaryota; Metazoa; Chordata; Actinopteri; Cyprinodontiformes; Cyprinodontidae
Exons: 3
Source: RefSeq, a predicted model, not a curated record
GCUCCACGCUGAACUUGUCCCGUGGCAGCUCCACUCCCUGGGCCAGUUUCACCUUCAGCUGCUCCCGGUGGCCCUUAAAGUAAAGGGCAGUCAUCCAAGAAGGGGGCACUCUCGGUAAGGGGGUGCCCCAGCUGUUAAAGGAAGAGUCUGCAUCUGUUUCCUCUCCAAAGUAGUCCUCCGUGGCAACAGCAUCCUCCAGCGUCCCCGCGGACGCCUGGUUGUCUCCGUCUCUGUCAUCUUGCCUCGGUCUGUGGAGGACCCCGUCCGCUGCAGGGAUUUCUGGAGAAACUUUCUCCAACCUGGAGUUGUUGUCUUUCUCGCUGCGAAGUUUGACUUCGAGGCUGCGGGAAACCCUGGAGCGAGAGCCAGGAGAAACUCCCUCCGCGCGCCGGGCAUCUUCACCGGGAUCAACUGGCUCCGUUUCCCGGUGUGCGUAACUGCGUUCAUGAAACCGAUCGGAUAAAUCUGGGUAUCCUAAAUCUUCAGAGUCACCCCUGCCUCCUUCCUCUCUCCCGGCCGGAUCGGCCUCCAGCAGCCCGGUGUCAAACCCGCACCCUACGGGACAAACCUCUGGUGCGCCUUUGAGGGUGAAGGGCGAGAUCCGAGUGGUGGAGGUUCUCACUGGGGCCGCUGGAGGGCGGUGUUGCGCCGGGGAGAGGGCGCGGGGCUGCCGCCGGGACGGAGAGACGAAGCAGGGUUCACCUGCUGCUGUCCUGGACAGCUCAGCGUCUGCGCGCCGGGCCAAGGAGCGCUUAUGCCGGCCGAAGGCAUCGGAGCGAACCGGGCUGAGCAGAAAAGUGUUUGUGAUGAAAACGAGGAAAACAGGCAGUAGUCUGAUCAACAACAUUUUCUCUCCAGGAUAUAAAGGGUAACCUGGUCGAACCGUUUGUAGCGCGUCGGCAGCACAUCAACAAGGUCUCUACAGGCUCAAUUUGCAAACAGGCCCCUGGCUGGAGAUUGAGAUGGCGGAGAAGGCCACUGGCAGUUAUGGUAGGGGCCCCUGAAGGGGCAAAAAACAGUUCCUAAAAACUGGGAGGCAGGAAUUCCUCAAUCCCAGCCUGCCUGACGGAGGGAUCUGCCUGCUACACUUAGUUUUGAAAUCCAGCUGCAACUGUGCUGGGUGGCGCAUAAAGAAGAGACUGCGACAAAAAAAAGGCUUGAAGGGUAAAGUUUAAAAAAGGAAAAGAAGGAAAGAGAUAGAAGGGGGUUCAGGGUCUGAAUAGGUGAGCUGCACUGGGGCCCCACCACCCACUGCAAGGGACCUCCGCAGAUUAUCCUUCAUCCCAGCUUGUCCGUAUGACCUCAACAACCCCGAGGCCUGUUCUCUGUCUUACCCCUUUUCCCUCACUUUCCUUUCGACACAGACACUCACACAAAAACACACGUUUCUCUCGUACCUCUGAGGCCGCUGACCCUCCAGCUCCACCCCGUUGAUACCGCCACACAAAUUCCCCAAAACACGCACACAGGCGCAACCUGGUUUCUCACACAAAAGAGAGGGGGAUCCAGCGGGAGAAAAUCUAGGCUGAUGUGCAGGGCAAACAAGGAGGGGUUUUAAUGAGAAAAAAAAUGUUCAAGAGGGUAGGCUUUUCAGCUACCAAAACUAUUAUAUAAAAGGGCUGCAGCAGACAAAUGCAAUGGGAUGUACAUAGAGCUGCAGGUGCUUGUCUGAAUGCAAUCAGAGACAGUUUCCUGAAUGUGUGGGGCUAUUAAGGCAACAGAGAAUACCUGCUGUAAAAGUCUGAAUUUAAAUGCAAGUUAAGUUUUUUUCCCCCCUACUUUUUUAAAUAAAGUCUCCCCUUGAAUGUUUUCAAAUGAAUCCUUGAGAAAGAUGUGUGCCACGGUGGUCCUUUUCAUAAAAAAAAACCUUUGCUUUUUUCCUGUUACUAAAAAACAGAAAAAGUUCCAUAUUGAUACAUAUAAACCUCUUCCACAAACAAAAACAGGGGAAAAUCCAGGUUGCGCAGGCCUUCACGGAGGACCCCCUUGUUUGUUCACGUUGAGGUAAUGAUGGAAAAACAAGUAAGCCGGCAGGAUGCCGCUAAGGUUUUAUUUGCAGAGCUGCAGGUGGAGGCCUGAAAGACGUGACUCUGUGUUUCUUGGCUCUUUAGCUCACCGGACUUUGUGAAUGAGACCUACCAGCUUGUGCUUUAUCUCAAGGCAGUAAAAAGGUUCCCAUUCUGGAUGUCAAGGUGGAAUAAAACAAACAAAAAAUAGAUUAAGAUUACCUUUAUUUAUUAAUAAGAAUCCUUUUAUUUUUAAAUGUAAUUCUGUAAUGGAUCAGGUAAAUAUAAAAAUAGAUAAUUAAAUAGAAAUGAAAUACCAAAUUUGUUUUGAUAAUUGGGGAGAGAAAGAAAGAAAGAGAGAAAAAGUCUAGAUUCUGUGGGUUUUUUUGUUAUGAUCUGUGCAUCAUCUUAGCUUAAUGCACCCAAUUAGUCUGUUGUUUCCUUUUAGCAACCACAGGUGGUGCUAAGAAGACAUCGGAUUUUCAGCUUAUGAUUCAUAUAAAGGGCUGUUUUGAUGUUCAUUCAGAACUUACAUUUGAGCAUCACUUUUCAGGAAUUCAGUUUAAAGAGCUGUAUCUUUUGAUCAUGGAUCAAAUGCACAAUUUCACUCUUAGUGGACAUUCUUUAGAAUUGAAUGCAUGCAAAAAACAAGACAAAAUGUUGUUUUAUAUCUGUAGUUUAGUUAUUAUGGAUAAUUCAAUAUGCAAAAGAAGGAAGUACAUCACACCAUGUAAAAAAAUGCCAGGACUGAAUCUUUACAUAAAUAAACAAUGUUUGAGUAUAUAUUGGUGGUUAGAUAAAUUCAGUCUGGCAUUACCAUCGUUUUGAAAAGAAAAAUCAUCAUUACUAAAAUAACAAUAAUUAUAAGAAUGAUCAGAAAGAAAAGAAUGUUUCUCUUUGCUGUCAUUUUUUUUAGGUUCCCCUUAGAAUGAAAUAAAAAGAAAAGAAAAGUUUGGUGCUUUGGAAUAAACAAUAAAAGAGAAUAAAAUGUCACUCAUAUAAUAGAUUAGGGAAGAAAAUAAAAGAAAAAAUCCAUCUGAAAAACACUAAUAUCAAUGCAAAACCACUGGUGUUACCUGGGUUGUCUUCCCUGGUCAAAAUAAAAAAAAAAGUCCCUUUUAACCUUUUCUUUUAUAGGGUAAUUCAGAAGCAUAUUACAUCCAAGCUUAUUAACCAUAUAAAGAGGUAAAGAUGAACUGUUAAAAAAUCCUCUCUUCUUUAAACAGUGUCUCAAAAAACUAUUUUAGAGAAAAAUAUUGUAAAAAAAAUCCAAGUUUAAACCAAAGCAUGCAACCAUGAAACUCUAGAAAACUCUGGAAACUCUUUUUGAGUGCAGAGGACACUCCUAAAGAGCUUCUAUGACUCUGUUGUGGCAUCAGCCAUCUUCUUUGGGGCUGUCUGUUGGAGCAGUGGCUUAUGUGUAGCUGAGAGAAAGCGACUGGAUAAGCUGAUCAGAAA